Molecule: ribosomal RNA, 2930 nt
Filed under: Escherichia coli
Lineage: Bacteria; Pseudomonadati; Pseudomonadota; Gammaproteobacteria; Enterobacterales; Enterobacteriaceae
Also listed under: 2 other names
Description: 23S ribosomal RNA
Rfam family: Bacterial large subunit ribosomal RNA
Source: RNAcentral
GGGUUGUGAGGUUAAGCGACUAAGCGUACACGGUGGAUGCCCUGGCAGUCAGAGGCGAUGAAGGACGUGCUAAUCUGCGAUAAGCGUCGGUAAGGUGAUAUGAACCGUUAUAACCGGCGAUUUCCGAAUGGGGAAACCCAGUGUGAUUCGUCACACUAUCAUUAACUGAAUCCAUAGGUUAAUGAGGCGAACCGGGGGAACUGAAACAUCUAAGUACCCCGAGGAAAAGAAAUCAACCGAGAUUCCCCCAGUAGCGGCGAGCGAACGGGGAGCAGUCCAGAGCCUGAAUCAGUGUGUGUGUUAGUGGAAGCGUCUGGAAAGGCGCGCGAUACAGGGUGACAGCCCCGUACACAAAAAUGCACAUACUGUGAGCUCGAUGAGUAGGGCGGGACACGUGGUAUCCUGUCUGAAUAUGGGGGGACCAUCCUCCAAGGCUAAAUACUCCUGACUGACCGAUAGUGAACCAGUACCGUGAGGGAAAGGCGAAAAGAACCCCGGCGAGGGGAGUGAAAAAGAACCUGAAACCGUGUACGUACAAGCAGUGGGAGCACGCUUAGGCGUGUGACUGCGUACCUUUUGUAUAAUGGGUCAGCGACUUAUAUUCUGUAGCAAGGUUAACCGAAUAGGGGAGCCGAAGGGAAACCGAGUCUUAACUGGGCGUUAAGUUGCAGGGUAUAGACCCGAAACCCGGUGAUCUAGCCAUGGGCAGGUUGAAGGUUGGGUAACACUAACUGGAGGACCGAACCGACUAAUGUUGAAAAAUUAGCGGAUGACUUGUGGCUGGGGGUGAAAGGCCAAUCAAACCGGGAGAUAGCUGGUUCUCCCCGAAAGCUAUUUAGGUAGCGCCUCGUGAAUUCAUCUCCGGGGGUAGAGCACUGUUUCGGCAAGGGGGUCAUCCCGACUUACCAACCCGAUGCAAACUGCGAAUACCGGAGAAUGUUAUCACGGGAGACACACGGCGGGUGCUAACGUCCGUCGUGAAGAGGGAAACAACCCAGACCGCCAGCUAAGGUCCCAAAGUCAUGGUUAAGUGGGAAACGAUGUGGGAAGGCCCAGACAGCCAGGAUGUUGGCUUAGAAGCAGCCAUCAUUUAAAGAAAGCGUAAUAGCUCACUGGUCGAGUCGGCCUGCGCGGAAGAUGUAACGGGGCUAAACCAUGCACCGAAGCUGCGGCAGCGACGCUGAUGCGUUGUUGGGUAGGGGAGCGUUCUGUAAGCCUGUGAAGGUGUGCUGUGAGGCAUGCUGGAGGUAUCAGAAGUGCGAAUGCUGACAUAAGUAACGAUAAAGCGGGUGAAAAGCCCGCUCGCCGGAAGACCAAGGGUUCCUGUCCAACGUUAAUCGGGGCAGGGUGAGUCGACCCCUAAGGCGAGGCCGAAAGGCGUAGUCGAUGGGAAACAGGUUAAUAUUCCUGUACUUGGUGUUACUGCGAAGGGGGGACGGAGAAGGCUAUGUUGGCCGGGCGACGGUUGUCCCGGUUUAAGCGUGUAGGCUGGUUUUCCAGGCAAAUCCGGAAAAUCAAGGCUGAGGCGUGAUGACGAGGCACUACGGUGCUGAAGCAACAAAUGCCCUGCUUCCAGGAAAAGCCUCUAAGCAUCAGGUAACAUCAAAUCGUACCCCAAACCGACACAGGUGGUCAGGUAGAGAAUACCAAGGCGCUUGAGAGAACUCGGGUGAAGGAACUAGGCAAAAUGGUGCCGUAACUUCGGGAGAAGGCACGCUGAUAUGUAGGUGAAGUCCCUCGCGGAUGGAGCUGAAAUCAGUCGAAGAUACCAGCUGGCUGCAACUGUUUAUUAAAAACACAGCACUGUGCAAACACGAAAGUGGACGUAUACGGUGUGACGCCUGCCCGGUGCCGGAAGGUUAAUUGAUGGGGUCAGCGCAAGCGAAGCUCUUGAUCGAAGCCCCGGUAAACGGCGGCCGUAACUAUAACGGUCCUAAGGUAGCGAAAUUCCUUGUCGGGUAAGUUCCGACCUGCACGAAUGGCGUAAUGAUGGCCAGGCUGUCUCCACCCGAGACUCAGUGAAAUUGAACUCGCUGUGAAGAUGCAGUGUACCCGCGGCAAGACGGAAAGACCCCGUGAACCUUUACUAUAGCUUGACACUGAACAUUGAGCCUUGAUGUGUAGGAUAGGUGGGAGGCUUUGAAGUGUGGACGCCAGUCUGCAUGGAGCCGGCCUUGAAAUACCACCCUUUAAUGUUUGAUGUUCUAACGUUGACCCGUGAUCCGGGUUGCGGACAGUGUCUGGUGGGUAGUUUGACUGGGGCGGUCUCCUCCUAAAGAGUAACGGAGGAGCACGAAGGUUGGCUAAUCCUGGUCGGACAUCAGGAGGUUAGUGCAAUGGCAUAAGCCAGCUUGACUGCGAGCGUGACGGCGCGAGCAGGUGCGAAAGCAGGUCAUAGUGAUCCGGUGGUUCUGAAUGGAAGGGCCAUCGCUCAACGGAUAAAAGGUACUCCGGGGAUAACAGGCUGAUACCGCCCAAGAGUUCAUAUCGACGGCGGUGUUUGGCACCUCGAUGUCGGCUCAUCACAUCCUGGGGCUGAAGUAGGUCCCAAGGGUAUGGCUGUUCGCCAUUUAAAGUGGUACGCGAGCUGGGUUUAGAACGUCGUGAGACAGUUCGGUCCCUAUCUGCCGUGGGCGCUGGAGAACUGAGGGGGGCUGCUCCUAGUACGAGAGGACCGGAGUGGACGCAUCACUGGUGUUCGGGUUGUCAUGCCAAUGGCACUGCCCGGUAGCUAAAUGCGGAAGAGAUAAGUGCUGAAAGCAUCUAAGCACGAAACUUGCCCCGAGAUGAGUUCUCCCUGACUCCUUGAGAGUCCUGAAGGAACGUUGAAGACGACGACGUUGAUAGGCCGGGUGUGUAAGCGCAGCGAUGCGUUGAGCUAACCGGUACUAAUGAACCGUGAGGCUUAACCUUACAACGCCGAAGCUGUU